CCUACGGGAGGCAGCAGUGGGGGAUAUUGCACAAUGGGGGGAACCCUGAUGCGGCGACGCCGCGUGGGUGAAGGAGUGCUUCGGCAUGUAAAGCCCUAUCUGCAGGGAAGAAGCAAGUCGGUACCUUCCUCAGAAGCCCCUGCUAACUACGUGCCAGCAGCCGCGGUAAUACGUAGGGGGCGAGCGUUAUCCGAAUUCACUGGGUGUAAAGGGAGCGGCGUCGGGGUGACAAGUCAGAGGUGAAAUCCUGGGGCUUAACCGCAGAACUGCAUUUGAACCUGUUGAUCUUGAGUACUGGAGAGGCAGGCGGAAUGCCUGGGGUAGCGGUGAAAUGCGUAGAUAUUAGGAGGAACACCAGUGGCGAAGGCGGUCUGCUGGACAGAAACUGACGGUGAGGCGCGAAAGCGUGGGGAGCAAACAGGAUUAGAUACCCUAGUAGUC
Molecule: ribosomal RNA, 441 nt
Filed under: uncultured bacterium
Lineage: Bacteria
Description: partial 16S ribosomal RNA
Rfam family: Bacterial small subunit ribosomal RNA
Source: RNAcentral